RNAcentral lists this ribosomal RNA (467 nucleotides) under uncultured bacterium. RNAcentral's name for it is "partial 16S ribosomal RNA". It matches the Rfam family "Bacterial small subunit ribosomal RNA", at positions 28 to 507 of the family's 1533-position model. The record is from RNAcentral.
GACGAACGCUGGCGGCGUGCUUAACACAUGCAAGUCGAACGGAAAGGCCCUGCUUUUGUGGGGUGCUCGAGUGGCGAACGGGUGAGUAACACGUGAGUACCUGCCCUUGACUUUGGGAUAACUUCAGGAAACUGGGGCUAAUACCGGAUAGGAGCUCCUGCUGCAUGGUGGGGGUUGGAAAGUUUCGGCGGUUGGGGAUGGACUCGCGGCUUAUCAGCUUGUUGGUGGGGUAGUGGCUUACCAAGGCUUUGACGGGUAGCCGGCCUGAGAGGGUGACCGGCCACAUUGGGACUGAGAUACGGCCCAGACUCCUACGGGGGGCAGCAGUGGGGAAUAUUGCACAAUGGGCGGAAGCCUGAUGCAGCAACGCCGCGUGCGGGAUGACGGCCUUCGGGUUGUAAACCGCUUUCGCCUGUGACGAAGCGUGAGUGACGGUAAUGGGUAAAGAAGCACCGGCUAACUACGUG